This 70-nucleotide transfer RNA is filed under the name Spilopelia chinensis (spotted dove). RNAcentral's name for it is "Streptopelia chinensis (spotted dove) tRNA-Lys". The record is from RNAcentral. Lineage: Eukaryota; Metazoa; Chordata; Aves; Columbiformes; Columbidae.
CAUUAAGAAGCUAUAUACCAGCGCUAGCCUUUUAAGCUAGAGACUGAGGAUCGCCCGCCCUCCUUAAUGA